CGAAGGCGAUGGCUUCACGGUUAAUAUUCCGUGACUUGCUCAUUCAGCGAUGUGGAGACGGAGCAGUGACACUGUCGCGCCCUUACGGAUAUGGGCGUUAAAGAAGUUAGGUGUAGAUAGAUGUAGGCAAAUCCGCAUUUAGAGCUGAUCUUCUAUAGUACAGAGUUUUCUUCGGAGAGCUUUGAUAGUACAGGUAAUCAUACUUCCAAGAAAAUCCGCUAAGCUUAAUGUUUGAGCAACCCGUACCGUAAUCGGACACACGUAGUCGGGUAGAACAUACUAAGGCGUUGAGAGAUUCAUGGUUAAGGAACUAGGC
Molecule: ribosomal RNA, 316 nt
Filed under: uncultured Thalassiosira
Lineage: Eukaryota; Bacillariophyta; Thalassiosirophyceae; Thalassiosirales; Thalassiosiraceae
Description: partial Bacterial large subunit ribosomal RNA
Rfam family: Bacterial large subunit ribosomal RNA
Source: RNAcentral